AUUUUGAUUCUGAGGAAUUAACUUUUUCAUCUGUUCUUGUCAGUUUAAUACCUGGCAUGCUGGGCAUUGCCUGGCACCAAUACUAAACUGAUUUUUGCUUAUCCAGUUAACACCGAAGCUUGCUUCAGUUGACUCACGAAUUGUCCCGGUCUUACACUACCAUCAUGAUUUGUCUGAUCAUG
Small nuclear RNA from Symsagittifera roscoffensis, 182 nucleotides. RefSeq annotates it as U2 spliceosomal RNA. The transcript has a single exon. The record is from RefSeq and is a predicted model, not a curated record. NCBI's taxonomy places the organism in Eukaryota, Metazoa, Xenacoelomorpha, Acoela, Convolutidae.